CGCGUAGGCGGACAGUUUAGUCAGAGGUGAAAGCCCAGGGCUCAACCUUGGAAUUGCCUUUGAUACUGACUAUCUUGAGUUCGGGAGAGGUGAGUGGAAUGCCGAGUGUAGAGGUGAAAUUCGUAGAUAUUCGGCGGAACACCAGUGGCGAAGGCGACUCACUGGCCCGAUACUGACGCUGAGGCGCGAAAGCGUGGGGAGCAAACA
Molecule: ribosomal RNA, 207 nt
Filed under: uncultured bacterium
Lineage: Bacteria
Description: partial 16S ribosomal RNA
Rfam family: Bacterial small subunit ribosomal RNA
Source: RNAcentral